CCCUUAGAUGUUCUGGGCUGCACGCGCGCUACACUGACGUACGCAACGAGUGUCCUUUACCGAGAGGUAUGGGUAAUCAUUUGAGUGUACGUCGUGAUGGGGAUAGAAUAUUGUAAUUAUUACUCUUCAACGAGGAAUUCCUAGUAAGCGCAAGUCAGCAGCUUGCGCUGAUUACGUCCCUGCCCUUUGUACACGCCGCCCGUCGCUCCUACCGAUGGGUGAUCCGGUGAAUGAUUCGGACUCGGUUGCCUCUAGCCACUAGUGGCGCUCGAGAAAGUUUUGUGAACCUUAUCACUUGGAGGAAGGAGAAGUCGUAACA
Molecule: ribosomal RNA, 319 nt
Filed under: uncultured eukaryote
Lineage: Eukaryota
Description: partial 18S ribosomal RNA
Rfam family: Eukaryotic small subunit ribosomal RNA
Source: RNAcentral